GACGAACGCUGGCGGCGUGCCUAAUACAUGCAAGUAGAACGCUGAAGGAGGAGCUUGCUUCUCUGGAUGAGUUGCGAACGGGUGAGUAACGCGUAGGUAACCUGCCUGGUAGCGGGGGAUAACUAUUGGAAACGAUAGCUAAUACCGCAUAAUAGUAGAUGUUGCAUAACAUUUGCUUAAAAGGUGCAAUUGCAUCACUACCAGAUGGACCUGCGUUGUAUUAGCUAGUUGGUGGGGUAACGGCUCACCAAGGCGACGAUACAUAGCCGACCUGGGAGGGGGAUCGGCCAAACUGGGACUGAGACACGGCCCAGGACCCUACGGGAGGCAGCAGGAGGGAAUCUUCGGCAAUGGGCGGAAGGCUGAACGGGCAACGCCGCGGGAGUGAAGAAAGUUUUCGGAUCGGAAAGCUCUGUUGUAAGGGAAGAACGAGUGUGAGAGUGGAAAGUUCACACUGUGACGGUAUCUUACCAGAAAGGGACGGCUAACUACGUG
Molecule: ribosomal RNA, 495 nt
Filed under: uncultured bacterium
Lineage: Bacteria
Description: partial 16S ribosomal RNA
Rfam family: Bacterial small subunit ribosomal RNA
Source: RNAcentral